Halichondria panicea is the source of this 6775-nucleotide long non-coding RNA. RefSeq lists it as uncharacterized. The transcript has 8 exons. NCBI's taxonomy places the organism in Eukaryota, Metazoa, Porifera, Demospongiae, Suberitida, Halichondriidae. The record is from RefSeq and is a predicted model, not a curated record.
CACAUAUACGAUUUCGCCAUUGUGAAGGGAGUAAGAGUCUCGGAGUCUCGAAGUCCCCAGAUAUCUCUUUCUGUGAGAGUUGCGUCCAAGGAAAGAUACAGAGGAAGCCAUUUAAACCAAUGGGAGAAAUCCGCUCAAUAAGAAAGUUGGAACGCAUACACAGUGAUGUGUGUGGUCCCAUGCCAACGGAGUCAUUUGGAGAAAAAAAGUACUUUGUCACGUUCAUUGAUGACUUCUCAAGGUGUUGCAAAGUUUACUUCAUGCGACACAAAUCUGAAGUGCUAGAUAAGUUCAAGGAAUACAAUGAAUGUGGUCUAAAUAUCGACACACUACGAUCGGGAAUAUGUUUCCAAGGAAUUUGAAGCCCUACUUGAAGAGCCAAGGGAUUCGACACGAAUUAACAACUCCCUACUCACCACAACAAAACGGAGUGGCAGAGAGAAUGAACUGCACACUCAUGGAAGCUGCUCGGUGUAUGAUUGCUCAAGCAAAAUUAUCGGAUCGUUUUUGGGCAGAGGCAGUUGCUACAGCUGCGUACCUCAGAGAUAGGAUGCCUACACUGUUAAAAAUGGGGUGUUGAUUAACACCCCUAUUUUCAAUGUCCAAUUUUGAGUGUGUGCUAAACAAGCACAUCUGUGCACAACAACACAGCCCAAAAAUAUGAAAAUUGCAGCCUUAACUCCUCGUUGAGAUUGAAUUUUAUGCAUCUAGAUGUUUCCAAGUCUAUAGAUAUAGAUAUAGAUAUAGUCUGAGCAUCCAGCUAGCUAUGAAGUAAUGAUUAUAUUAAGAGUUUGCAAGCAGAACGCUCCAACUGAAAAGCGUGUAACUUAACACCCCUAGCUGGUUGUAUAUAGGUUGUAUUAUCAGAGCCUCAAUGUUUAGUGUUUAUUGCAUAGUUGCUCUUUACCGUCUGUGGUGGCUCAGUGUGAUUGUUGCUUGUUUGUUCUAAACUCUUUACCAAAUCUAUAUUUAUACAGGAUCGAUGGUAUAGGAUCAAGGAUGGCCUAUAUUUGGUUGACUAUUGCUGUACCAUUUGCUGCUGUAAUGGCUGAUUGGAUUACCCUGGAUCAAAUCAUCACUAACAAAGAGUGCACACUCAGGUGAUUUGACUGUACUGAUGAAAAACCAAGGAACUUGCCAAGAAUUUUUUAGGAUACGCAAAAACAACCAACUUUCAUUUAUUAAGUGAAGCUUUAAGCAUUUUUGCUCCGUGUCAUAAUGACGACCAGACAACAGCUUCCCGUGUGGCCCAUCUCCAGCGAGCGUACUCUCUAAAUGGAUGCGUACAUUCUCGCUUACGUCAAAAUGCUUGAGAGUGUCAUCAACAAUACCCCGUAUGUUUGUAAGGAUCACCUAUAAUUAUUAAAGCAUAUUAAUAUCAUGCUUUUGGAUAUUGUGUAAUCAAUCACCUGAUAGAGUGACUCAAUUUCUUGGAUUAUUGUGUCCAUGGUGUUUUGAGGGAGGCGAUGCAUUUCCUGUAUCUUCAAAAUGAAAGUAGCUGCGCACUUCUGAAUUUGUAAUCGAUGUUUUGUGGUUUUCGAACAGUCUGCUGGCAGGUGAAGCCCUGAUCAAUCUCAAUCUCCUCUGUUGUGACACUUUGGUCUGGUUCACUAUCGCCGAUAGCAUUGGUCUCAUUCUCAUUUUGCUCUGCAGUUGCGGUGAGGCCACUGUGGUAGGCGUAAACAUGAUUACGGAAUGUGAAGAAGUUUUUGAAAGGUCUGUCCCUUGGCCUUGCACAUCCCAGAUUGCAAAAAACUCGAAAUGUAGUGCCGGUAUCAUUAUGGAACAAUCGAAUAUGACGAAGAUAGUCUCCAAUAUUUGUUCCACUAAAAUGAAAACAAGAUGGGCAGUCUAACUGCCCCAUUACUUAAUAGAUCUGAAUAGCUAGCUAGCUAGCUUGCUAUAAUUAAUUAUAAAGCUGUUCAAAGGUUCGCGCUUAUUUUUCUGUAUCCUUGAUUCGAGGCAAACCCAGACCUUACGGCUGUUGACCAAUGAAAUUAAUUAGUAGUGAUGUAAGCACAAAUAGCGAUCACCAGCUGCGCAGUCGCGGUGCUGUAUGAGUUGUCAUAGAUACAGGAGCAGCUCCAACUAACAGAACUACUAGAAGUGCAGCGCAAGAGACUAACAGUUUCAAGUUUCAAGUCUUAGCAUGGCAACAAACGACCUCUCUCACCUCACUACUGACGAACUGUGCAAGUUUCUAUCUGGCAGAAUCCAUGAGGCAGCGGAACUUACACUUAGAGAACAAUGUAUUAGCGGUGCAAUUUUCUUCAAACUAACAGAUACAGACCUCAAGGAACUAUUGCCUCAAAUUGGAACAAGACUAAGUGUCUCGGUGAUAUUGCGAGAAUUGCAACCUGUACAUGCCAGUAAUAGAAUCUCGAAGGUACCAGAUAUGUCAGCCCCAGCAUCAAGUAGCUGGGUAUUCUCUUUUGAAAUUCCUGGGCGUUUCACCAACAAGACAAUGAAAUGCCUUGAAGAUGUGUGCAUAUCCUCUACUGCUCGAUCUGAGAUAAUCGGCUCACUGCAUACAAGAAUGUUGCAGUACACAGACUUCCCUUCACCCUUUGAGUACAGAGCAAGAGCAAGUUGCAGGAGGCUGGUUGAAAAGUAUCCUUGUCUCGUGGACAAGACUGAGAGUGGAUAUGGAACAUGGAAAGAGACGCUAAAAACAGAAAUUCAGAAAUGGACGAAGACCUCUGAAAAGAACCCUACCUGAGUCUGGAGAUUCCGGAGCCGAGGAAAAUGUACCACCUUUGCCAGCCACCAGCCAAGCACAAUGCUCCAACAAAAAGAAAAGGAAGCAAGGAAUAGCUGAUAACAACCAGCAUGACAUCAUUGAUGAGAGGUAUACUCAGCAAUUAGAGGAGCUUGCAGAUGAACACCACAAAGAAGUGCCAUCUCGUAGCCAAGUUAAAAAAUUGAUGAAGGUGACUUUUGGCGGAAGGCGCUCCUGGAUUCUAAAGGACACUCCAACCGUAGCGGAAGUUAUCCAAGUUUUCCCUUCACUAAAAUUACCGAGCGCGAUUCGAAGGGAACUUUGUUUAGUUCUGGGUGUGGACAAAGCAACAAACUUUCUGGCUAAUUGGUGUCCAUUAAGUGACAAAGUGUUGGUCUAUGGGGGAAAAGAAACGAAGCCUUCUGUUCAGAAACUGUGCUCAGAGUUUGCUAAGCAAGAACAAUCACCAGAUUCCCAAGGCGUUCAAACAAUCCGCCUGCUCUCGGCAAUAUUGGCUACCAGGAGCAAAGAGAAGAUCCUUCAUGAGUUCCCUGUAAGUUGGAUACGGCAGUAUUACAAUUAUAUACUUUGUACCGUGUGUAUAUAUACCGUCAAGAGCAUUUAUAGAUAAGAGUAAGAGUGUUGAACUGCUGUAUAGUAAUUGCAUAACCACAUUCGCCUUAACAUGCGUCAUCACUGUCGUCACUAUUCAAUUAAUGAGUGCUGUUAAGUAAACUGUGCAUGGUCUGUGGUUUGUAGCACUGAAUUACGCAAUCACAGCAUGUGCAUGCGGUUUCUGGGAGGUGUUGCUAACAUAAAAAAUUAGUACUGAUUACUAUCAAGUGAUGGAUGACGCAGGAGCAGGCAAUUGCUGUUACUAGCAGUUCAACAUUCUUACUCUUGUCUAUACUCUUGAUACCCUGCAUGUAUUAUUAUACUUAUACCUUGUACUGUUUCACCAAUGUUAUGUGCUAGCAUAGAAGGAAGCGUGCUCGAUCUCAUUGGAGCAUACUAUUCCUUUGAUAUUGUUUACCCUAGGCAGCUCUAUCCAUUAUUAAUCUUUAUUCAGCAUAUUAUUUUAAAUAUUUUUGACCAACAAAGAAUCCCGACGAAUGUUACUAUUUUAUGCACUUCCUUAGACAAAUUAUAGGCAUUCAAUAUCACUUAUUUAAUCACCACAUAAUCUUAAACUGCUUAUAAUUAUAUCAAAUGUUCACUAUCUUUUAUCAUUCAUGUAUCACCAUCGUGUAUCACCAUGCUGUAUCUUAAAUUGACUGUUCAUUAUGUCCACUGUUAUUUGUUGUUCGUUUAUGCUAUAUCGUUAUUCUUGUUACUAUGACAAUGUGGAUGUACACUAGUGCAUGCUGUGUAAACACUUAUAUGCAUGUCAUGUGAGCACAUUACCUAUACAGUGCGUGCUAUAUAAACACUAACAUGCAUGUCAUGUGAGCACACUACCACCAGUGUUGAUCAACACACACUCAAGAGUGUGUGUUGAUCAACACAUCUCAGUGUGUUAAACUUAAACAGUGCAACGAGCACCCUAAAAGGGUGUUAAUUAACACCCCAUUUUUAACAGUGUAGUCGAGCCUUCAAGAUCAAAAUCACACCAUAUGAGAGGUGGUACGCACAGAAACCGAAAUUGAGCCACAUACGAGUUUUUGGUUGUACAGCGUACGCACACAUACCAGACACAUACCAGAUUCGCAAAGAAACAAACUUGCAAAGAAGGCUGAAAAACGACAGUUUGUAGGAUACUGCUCUCAAUCCAAUGGAUACCGACUAAUGGACGAAACAACAUCUAAAGUCGUCAUUCGAAGAGAUGUCGUUUUCAACGAGACUGUUUUUCAAGAGACUGAUUCACUAAUUGAUUUACAGACCCUAACUUCAGUACGAACGGAAACAGUACCCUGUACUAGUGAAGCUGAAACUAAAGCUGAAUCUGAAGCUGAAUCUGAAGCUGAACCCGAAGCUGAAGAAACUCAUCGAUACCCUAGUCGACAACGGGCUCAACCAGUGAGGUAUGGUCAGGAUGAGUACAUUAAUGCUGCAAUCCUUGAAAACAACCCAGCCUCAGCCUCAGUAGAAGAAGCAUUAUCAUGUGAUGACUCUGAGGGCUGGAAAGCAGCUGCUGAUUCCGAAUAUCAAUCCCUGAUUGAAAACAAGACUUGGGAUCUUGUAGAACUACCAAGUGGUCGAAAAACUAUUGGAAGCAAGUGGGUCUUUAAGGCCAAACGCGGAAAGGACGGUGAAGUGGAGCGACUCAAAGCUCGCCUAGUAGCCAAAGGUUGCACACAAAAAUUUGGUGUAGAUUAUGAUGAAACAUUUUAGUGCGUUUCACAUCAAUUCGAGUGUUACUAGCACUGGCUGUUACUAGCACUGGCUGUACAGAAGGACAUGCUUGUCCACCAAAUGGAUGUUGUAACAGCCUUCUUAAACAGCACACUAGAAGAAGAGAUAUAUAUGGAGCAACCGUCCCACUAUGUCGAGAAAGGCAAAGAAAAACUAGUCUGCAAGUUAAACAAGUCACUCUAUGGACUGAAACAAUCAAUCUCCACGAUGUUGGAACGCUGUGUUUACGGAAUACAUGGAGCAAGCAGGAUUUGUUCAAAGCAGUGCUGAUCCUUGUGUGUUUGUCCAAACUGAAGAGGGUGACCUAACAAUCGUUGCUGUGUAUGUGGACGAUUUAAUCAUCUUAACCAAGACACCUGAAAAGAUGAAGGAGGUGAAGCAAAGUUUGGAGGGACGUUUUAAGAUGAAGGAUUUAGGAAAGCUCCACUACUGCCUUGGUAUUUCCAUAGACCACGAUGAAGAUGGGAAGUGUAUACGAAUGCAUCAGAAGCAGUACAUACAGGCAAUGCUGGAGAAAUUUGGACUGACUCAAGCAUCUGACUCAAGCUAAUGCAGCUUUGACACCAGCUGAUGUAAACGUAAUUCUCAAAAGGGACGACGAAACCAGCAAACCAGUUGAUUCUAUUCAGUAUCAGUCACUUGUAGGAAGUCUACUCUAUUGUGCAAUUGGUACACGUCCAGAUACAGCUCAAGCAGUGGGAGCAGUGUCCAAGUUUAACUCGAACCCGAGUGAAGCACACCUGACGGCCGCCAAGAGAAUAUUGAGGUAUCUAAAGGGAACAGCCGAUCUAACACUAAAGUAUGAGAAAUCGAAGGCCAAUGCACUAAUGGGCUAUUCCGAUGCCGAUUGGGCUGGAGACCAAGACAAUCGUCAUUCUACAAGUGGAAACCUGUUCUUGAUGGCCGGAGGGGCAGUUUCAUGGAUGAGCAAGAAACAAACGAUGGUAGCUCUAUCCACCGCGGAAUCUGAGUAUGUCGCUCUUAGUGUUGCCACUCAAAGAGGCCGUGUGGAUGAGAAGAUUGCUCACAGACUUAGGAGUGUGCCAAAAGGUGCCGACUGUAUUGAUGGAAGACAAUCAAGCAGCAAUCGCUAUUAGCAAGAAUCCUGUGUCACAUGCUAGGACAAAGCAUAUUGACAUCAAAUUUCACUAUGUACGUGAAGCUGUAAAGGAAUGGAUCAUUUCAUUGACGUAUUGUCCGACAGAAAAAAUGGUAGCUGACUUGCUCACUAAGCCAUUGAACCGAAUUCGUUUCAAGUCACUUCGCGACGAAAUGGGCAUGUCUCAGGAAUAACAAUCGUAAAAUUAAGUGGGAGUGUUGUUAUGUAAUUAUUACGUAAUGGAACAUUCUAGAAUACUCUGUAGAACAUUCUAGAAUAUUCUGUAGUCUAUUUAACCAUUGUGUUCGUUUUUACUUUAGCACAUGUUCUCUGUCUAUUAUUAUCUCUUGUUGUUGAAUAGUCAACUAAACUAGCAUAGGGUUUAGCAUAGACCUAUAUAACAACAGUUGCUUGUAGUUAGCCAUUGCUUGUAGUUAGCCAUGUUGUAAAUUAGUGGUUAGAGUGAACCAUCAUGUCUAGGUCCUUUUGAGAAAACCGCGUUUAAAGUUCAAUGAUUCCGUGAACCUCCGUGCCCCUGGAUAAAUCGUCGCCGCCCUUAUCCUACGAGGUUCCGCAGAAAAUCUUGGAUAAAGUACAGCAACGGU